This is a long non-coding RNA of Psammomys obesus (fat sand rat), 280 nucleotides long. RefSeq lists it as uncharacterized. The transcript is spliced from 3 exons. The record is from RefSeq and is a predicted model, not a curated record. NCBI's taxonomy places the organism in Eukaryota, Metazoa, Chordata, Mammalia, Rodentia, Muridae.
GGGUACCGUGCAGAAGGUCGUGGUCCUUCCCACCAACAGCUCUGCCAGCGGGGAGCUCAUUCUGGAGGAGCUGGAAGUCUUCAAGAACCAUGUUCCCAUAACAACAAUGAAAAUCUCAUCCAAAAAGCAACAGUUGUACGUGAGCUCCAAUGAGGGGGUUUCCCAGGUGUCUCUGCAUCGCUGCCACAUUUACGGUACGGCCUGUGCAGACUGCUGCCUGGCCAGGGACCCAUACUGUGCCUGGGACGGCCACUCGUGUUCCAGAUUCUACCCGACCGGA